GAUGAGGCAGCGCAGGGGCUGCUGGUUGGGUCCCUGGUGUUGAAACGCGAUGGCUUUCCCGUUCGGGAGAGGGAGCAUGAGACAGCUGGUGGUGGGCGAAUGCCUCUGCUGCGUGGACGAGCUAGGAGGUUCCGAGAGUGCGCGCAGAUUCCUCUGGACCUCUGUCAGUUUUAAAUCAACGCCGAGUAUGCGGGGGCAAGACUCAAAGAUCCACGAAAAGCAUCUAAAAGGAGUAUUUCAGCAAAGUGAUGUUUUCCCACCAUCAGAACCUGGGCCGUCAGUGCUUACCCCAGAGCCACUGGGCCCAUCUCCUUACUUCCCAAAGCUGUGUUUUCACAAAUUCACAUCCUUGGAUACCUGAAAACGCUAUGGACUGAGAACCAGAAAACGCUAGUUUUCACUACAGCCAAGCGAGUUAAGGACUGAAAUCUUGUGACUUUGAACAUGUUGCUCAGUUUCCUUGUUUAUAAAAGAGAACACGUGGAGUACUUUCCUAAUGGGUUCAUCUAACAUGUAAUGAAAAAUGUACGUAAAGCAUUUGAGCACUUCAUACAUUUUCAUUAAAUGUUAGCCACUAUAAUUUUCAGUGCAGUAUUACCACUUAUUUGUUUACUUCCACCCUUUAAACAACUGUGUCUUUUCUUUUUUUAUUUUAAUGAAUGCAAUGGUCCUGCCACUUUAUUUUCCAUAACACAAAUUCCAGAAGAAAAGGAAUUGUACAUUUUAAAUUGAUUAUACAUAUUUUUACCAUUAAAUAAUAAAUGAAUCAAUAUCUUAGUACUUUUAAAAUACCUUCAAUGUCUGAGGAUACAAAUUACGAUAUGAUAAAUAUUCAAAACCUGGGGUAAAUUCACUAGCAGUAAUGACACAGUAAUGAAGCACCAUCAGCUUACA
Molecule: long non-coding RNA, 894 nt
Filed under: Heterocephalus glaber (naked mole-rat)
Lineage: Eukaryota; Metazoa; Chordata; Mammalia; Rodentia; Bathyergidae
Description: lncRNA (ENSHGLG00000045063.1)
Source: RNAcentral